Molecule: long non-coding RNA, 230 nt
Filed under: Elaeis guineensis (African oil palm)
Lineage: Eukaryota; Viridiplantae; Streptophyta; Magnoliopsida; Arecales; Arecaceae
Description: long non-coding RNA (EGUI_LNC011508)
Source: RNAcentral
UCUAACUUCGAUGGUAGUUAUACUUUGGACUCCAAUGAUUUUUAUUUAAAUGAACAUAGUUAGCCCCAGCCAUCUCCUUCCUUCAGUGUUUAUAUUCAUCGGAUCACUCCAAAACCUCCUCAACUGAAGCCAGUCUGAUCCUAUCUAUGCUUUCAUUUCAAAUUCAAAGAGCCUAUGGCACCAUAGCUAUCUCCAAAAUAGAUAAAGCAGGUGUGACUGUCCAAUCCCGA